ACGAACGCUGGCGGCGUGCUUCACACAUGCCAGUCGCACUGUGAACGAGGGAGCUUGCUCCCUCCGGAUCAGUGGCGAACGGGUGAGUAACACGUGAGCAAUCUGCCCCGAACUCUGGGAUAAGCGUUGGAAACGACGUCUAAUACCGGAUACGACGCGGGAGAGCAUCCUCUCCGCGUGGAAAGAACUUCGGUUCGGGAUGAGCUCGCGGCCUAUCAGCUUGUUGGUGAGGUAACGGCUCACCAAGGCGACGACGGGUAGCCGGCCUGAGAGGGUGACCGGCCACACUGGGACUGAGACACGGCCCAGACUCCUACGGGAGGCAGCAGUGGGGAAUAUUGCACAAUGGGCGCAAGCCUGAUGCAGCAACGCCGCGUGAGGGACGACGGCCUUCGGGUUGUAAACCUCUUUUAGCAGGGAAGAAGCGAAAGUGACGGUACCUGCAGAAAAAGCACCGGCUAACUACGUG
Molecule: ribosomal RNA, 469 nt
Filed under: uncultured bacterium
Lineage: Bacteria
Description: partial 16S ribosomal RNA
Rfam family: Bacterial small subunit ribosomal RNA
Source: RNAcentral